UACGGAGGGUGCAAGCGUUAUCCGGAUUCACUGGGUUUAAAGGGUGCGUAGGUGGGCUGGUAAGUCAGUGGUGAAAUCUCCAGGCUUAACUUGGAAACUGCCAUUGAUACUAUCAGUCUUGAAUACCGUGGAGGUCAGCGGAAUAUGUCAUGUAGCGGUGAAAUGCUUAGAUAUGACAUAGAACACCAAUUGCGAAGGCAGCUGGCUAGACGAAUAUUGACACUGAUGCACGAAAGCGUGGGGAUCAAACAGG
RNAcentral lists this ribosomal RNA (253 nucleotides) under uncultured bacterium. RNAcentral's name for it is "partial 16S ribosomal RNA". It matches the Rfam family "Bacterial small subunit ribosomal RNA", at positions 524 to 776 of the family's 1533-position model. The record is from RNAcentral.